GACGAACGCUGGCGGCGUGCUUAACACAUGCAAGUCGAACGGAAAGGCCCUGCUUUUGUGGGGUGCUCGAGUGGCGAACGGGUGAGUAACACGUGAGUAACCUGCCCUUGACUUUGGGAUAACUUCAGGAAACUGGGGCUAAUACCGGAUAGGAGCUCCUGCUGCAUGGUGGGGGUUGGAAAGUUUCGGCGGUUGGGGCUGGACUCGCGGCUUAUCAGCUUGUUGGUGGGGUAGUGGCUUACCAAGGCUUUGACGGGUAGCCGGCCUGGGAGGGUGACCGGCCCCAUUGGGACUGAGAUACGGCGCAGACUCCUACGGGAGGCAGCGGUGGGGAAUAUUGCAAAAUGGGCGGAAGCCUGAUGCAGCAACGCCGCGUGCGGGAUGACGGCCUUCGGGUUGUGAACCGAUUUCGCCUGUGACGAAGCGUGAGUGACGGUAAUGGGUAAAGAAGCACCGGCUAACUACGUG
Molecule: ribosomal RNA, 468 nt
Filed under: uncultured bacterium
Lineage: Bacteria
Description: partial 16S ribosomal RNA
Rfam family: Bacterial small subunit ribosomal RNA
Source: RNAcentral